This 301-nucleotide ribosomal RNA is filed under the name uncultured bacterium. Its description in RNAcentral is "partial 16S ribosomal RNA". It matches the Rfam family "Bacterial small subunit ribosomal RNA", at positions 509 to 809 of the family's 1533-position model. The record is from RNAcentral.
CAGUAGCCGCGGUAAUACGGAGGGUGCAAGCGUUAAUCGGAAUUACUGGGCGUAAAGCGCACGCAGGCGGUUUGUUAAGUCAGAUGUGAAAUCCCCGAGCUUAACUUGGGAACUGCAUUUGAAACUGGCAAGCUAGAGUCUUGUAGAGGGGGGUAGAAUUCCAGGUGUAGCGGUGAAAUGCGUAGAGAUCUGGAGGAAUACCGGUGGCGAAGGCGGCCCCCUGGACAAAGACUGACGCUCAGGUGCGAAAGCGUGGGGAGCAAACAGGAUUAGAUACCCGCGUAGUCCCUGUCUCUUAUAA